This 643-nucleotide ribosomal RNA is filed under the name uncultured bacterium. Its description in RNAcentral is "bacterial SSU rRNA". It matches the Rfam family "Bacterial small subunit ribosomal RNA", at positions 232 to 885 of the family's 1533-position model. The record is from RNAcentral.
CGCGGCCUANCAGCUUGUUGGNGGGGUAAUGGCCUACCAAGGCGACGACGGGUAGCCGACCUGAGAGGGUGACCGGCCACACUGGGACUGAGACACGGCCCAGACUCCUACGGGAGGCAGCAGUGGGGAAUAUUGCACAAUGGGCGAAAGCCUGAUGCAGCGACGCCGCGUGAGGGAUGACGGCCUUCGGGUUGUAAGCCUCUUUCGACAGGGACGAAGCGCGAGUGACGGUACCUGUAGAAGAAGCACCGGCCAACUACGUGCCAGCAGCCGCGGUAAUACGUAGGGUGCGAGCGUUGUCCGGAAUUACUGGGCGUAAAGAGCUUGUAGGCGGUUCGUCGCGUCGAUUGUGAAAACUUGCAGCUCAACUGCAAGCUUGCAGUCGAUACGGGCGGACUAGAGUACUUCAGGGGAGACUGGAAUUCCUGGUGUAGCGGUGAAAUGCGCAGAUAUCAGGAGGAACACCGGUGGCGAAGGCGGGUCUCUGGGAAGUAACUGACGCUGAGAAGCGAAAGCGUGGGUAGCGAACAGGAUUAGAUACCCUGGUAGUCCACGCCGUAAACGGUGGGUACUAGGUGUGGGUUUCCUUCCACGGGAUCCGUGCCGUAGCUAACGCAUUAAGUACCCCGCCUGGGGAGUACGG